Long non-coding RNA from Zingiber officinale, 302 nucleotides. RefSeq lists it as uncharacterized. The record is from RefSeq and is a predicted model, not a curated record. NCBI's taxonomy places the organism in Eukaryota, Viridiplantae, Streptophyta, Magnoliopsida, Zingiberales, Zingiberaceae. The transcript is spliced from 4 exons.
CGCGCCGCCACCACUGCCGACGCCGACCCUCUCCUUGCUGCCACUCUAGGUCACGGAUUGUCAAGGAUGCAAUUGUGAUCGUGAGGUGCAUUAGAACUUGCUGUGGGGUUGUGCUGUGGUUGGACAGCCACUCCUUUCGGUAUCUACUGGCUUCUGCAACGGGUGUCAACCUAGCAAUUUAUCUGUGCUGGCUGUAAACAAUCCUAAUUGGGCAACAACUUUAUGACUUCCAGCAGCGGUUGAUUUGAGGACUUUGACGCGAGACGAGUAUCUCGGAGUCAGAUUGGACCUUUCUAUUUUUU